This is a non-coding RNA of Coffea arabica (coffee), 1464 nucleotides long. Lineage: Eukaryota; Viridiplantae; Streptophyta; Magnoliopsida; Gentianales; Rubiaceae. The record is from RefSeq and is a predicted model, not a curated record.
CUCUGUGUUGCAGUAGUCCGGAUAAGCUGCCGUCUGUUCACGGCGCCUCCUUCUCCUCCAUUGUACCUUUUCUGCCUCUUCCUUUCCGGUGAGCGGCCAUGCAUCCUCUGUCUCUCGCUUUCUCUGUGUUGCAGUAGUCCGGAUAAGCUGCCGUCUGUUCACGGCGCCUCCUUCUCCUCCAUUGUACCUUUUCUGCCUCUUCCUUUCCGGUGAGAAAACGGUUUUCUUCUGAAGUGAUUCUUGAGACUGCUUCCUUACAUGCCAAGGAGGUGCCAUCUUUGACCUUUUUUUCCUCCCCGAACGCAUGCCUUCUGUCUUUCCACUCGAAUAAGGCCAACGAAGUGCCAUUCCUCCCUGAAUGCAUGCCUUCUGUUUUUCCUCUCGAAUAAGAUGGCCAUUGAGCCUUUACGUGUGUCUGAGGUCCAUAGCUCCCUGCCCCAAUGGACUUGUGUCAUCCAAGUUAUUGAGGUGUCUCAUCUUAAAACUAGCUAUGCAGAGCAUGCAUCCAAAAAGUAUCGUCGCUUCGUCUUUGCUGAUUCACAGGGCGUAAAGGUUUCUGUUGUUGCCUUUGAUGGUAACGUUGCUCAUAUUGAAGGUUUGUUUUUUCCUUUCAAGAGGUACUGCAUUAGUAAUGCUGCUGUUGAGAAAAUUCCCAGACCUGCUCCGCCGGGUCUGCAACACCAAGUUGCUGCUUUGAUGUUGACCUCACUGAUGAUACCAGUGUCAUGACAGCCUCUGUGUCUAGUGAAUUGGCUGAGCAAUUACUUGGAUUUACUGCAGUUGCGGCAACGGAUUCGUAUAACAAGAAUGAAGAACUCCCACUGGACAUGAUUCAUGACACGUUGAAGUCCAAGACGACAUUCAUUGCUCAGGUUAGGCCUGGAAACACCAAAGAUACUAAUUUGAGGACACCAAAGACUAUGAACUCAUUGAAGAACAGCCCCCAAGUAGUUUUCAGGUGGCCAGUCAGCUUUCUGCAGUUGAUACUCCAGAAAAAUCAUGUUCUUUUUCCAAGAGUCAACUCUGCCUUAACAGGAAGCAAGCCGUUUCUGCAACAGAAAGUCAAUCUUCUGCAAUAGAUGUUUCAGGUAAGCCGUGUAGUUCCUCCAAAACUCACAUUUGCCUUGCAAAAAAAAAAAAAAGCUCAGCGAGGAAGCCGAAGAUACUGCAUCAGAAACUUGGGAUUUCACAAGCAGCAAAAAACCAAGGAAUGCUUGAACUGCUUGCACUCGUCAGAAAGUCUUUUGUCAUUACAUUGCUGCUGUGUAAACCUAUUUAGGCUUGUACUCUUAUGCUUGAUCUAGCCUACAUGCUUUCCUCUUUUAAGCCAUCUUUUGUGUUUUAGACCUGCUGUGAAUUUAGCUGGUUUUAGGUCCUGGCUGGAUCUCUCUAGAUCUACUGUUUUGCUAUUCAGAAUGUGUUAAACUUGCUCUUUUAAUGAUGUGGUUGUGUGUUUUUUUUCCU